Molecule: long non-coding RNA, 497 nt
Filed under: Equus asinus (donkey)
Lineage: Eukaryota; Metazoa; Chordata; Mammalia; Perissodactyla; Equidae
Description: lncRNA (ENSEASG00005032679.1)
Source: RNAcentral
GUCAGCUUCCAAGCUUUGUGCUCAUCUAAGGCAGUUAUCCUGAAAAACCUUGGAUUUAUUCAGUAGUAACCCUCUGUCGCUACUCCCUGAUCUAAUUAACCUGUCUACGACACAGUUUCUUCAUCUGUAAAGGGGGCUAAUAAAAACCCUUACUUGGUGUCUUAAUUGUGAGGCUUCAUCUAUGACAACACAAUUCAAAGUGCUUUACACAUUGCAAAGCACUACUUACAUAUUAGUUACUCGUUUUCCUAAGUGCGGCCACUUUUACGGAGGAGGAAAGUGCGCCCACCAAGAUCAAACGUCUUCCCGAGGUCUCACGGCCAUGAGGGCAGAGCUUGCUCCGUUACCUGCACCCAUCAAACCCUCCCCAAUUUUCAAAGCCUGGUUCAAGCACACGUCUUCCUCAGCCUGGCGCAGGGGGCCAAGAGCCCCAUGUCCCAGGAGGCGGUAAACUCCAUGAGGACAGAGCUGUUCACCUGUUUCCUCCAAAUCCAGCA